RNAcentral lists this long non-coding RNA (1396 nucleotides) under Equus caballus (horse). RNAcentral describes it as "lncRNA (ENSECAG00000054510.1)". Lineage: Eukaryota; Metazoa; Chordata; Mammalia; Perissodactyla; Equidae. The record is from RNAcentral.
AUUCACUCAAGAUUCUUCUCUGUACUACUCUUACCUAAGAUGAAUCACAAAAGAACAUGUUGAUUGGGCGGAGGAGGAAGGUGGAUGGUUUUAUAAAUGAAGAUGGACUAUAAUAUUAUAAUGUUGUGCUUUUAUUAUGUAUCACAAAAGAAAAAAUUAUCACUAAAGAAGGAGUAGGAAGAAGAAUCUGUGGUCCCUUCAAUUAAUGUAAUGGGGAUCUCAAUUAGCUACAAGAGAGAGUCAGUCGUGCCUGGGCUUGUCUGUUGAAUUGGUGGGAGCAGCUGCCAGAAGCCUGUUUGCAUAUGGAUUGAGGGUCCUCUUGGGAGUGUUCUCAUUCUGAAGGAAGAAGUUGCCUGGCAACAAGAGUUUGACCCAUGGAGACAGCUUUACCCAACAGAGGAGCAAGAAAGCCUGAGUACAGUGUGGUGUCUGUCAUCUAGAUCUGUCUCCCGGCUGGAUGACAUGAAUAUAUGCCUAAGUGCCACAGAGAGUGGGGAGGCUAAAUGGACCAAGUAGAGAAAAAUAAACCUGCUUUACUAAUAUCCAUUUAAAACGGAGUACAAUGCAAUGCUUCAAGAUCCAUCUGAUAGACUAAAAUCCAAAUGGAAGGGAAGUGUUUUCCCCUUUCUUACUAAAAAUCAGUUUGGGUAUGGAGAUGUCACCAAAGCAUUCAUUAUAGUGUGUAUCAGAGCAGCGACAGUACCCGGAGAAGACUUUGAUGCCCAGUGAAGCAUUAAAAAUCAAUACCCAUAGGAUGUGGUAGUAUCCGGUGAUACUAAUUGGGAUAUGUCUGCACCUGCUCCUGAACUUUUCAUACACAUCAAGAUGAUAGGUGAGCGGAGAGCUUGAGUAGCUACAGAAGCUAGCUGAAGGCCAACAGCUAGUGAACACAUAAAGAGAACGGUUUUAGAAUGGAAAGGCCUUACUCCUUUCUCUGACGCCAAGCUAAUGUAACUAUCUCUGAUGACAGCAAGUGAAGACUAAACCAUGACCAUUAGCGUGAUUUACUUCACACACACCUGGUCCCCAAAACUACUACCUGUCCUCUCUAGUGACUGAGAGAGUAGGUCUCUAGUAUUGUGAAUAAUUUAUCCUUAAUGCAAUGUUAUUUAUCUCAGCUUGUAACACCCUGCAUUGUGCAUGUUAGACUCAAUAAAUACUUAUUUCAACUUAACCAAUUUUUCAUAUAUUUUGAACCAUAUUUAGGACUCUAUCCUAACAAAAUAUUUCUAAAUAUCACAAAAACCAAAAUUAUGCCAAAGGAUGUUCCCCAUAGCAUUAUGUGUGGUAUAAAAAUUAUUGGAAAUAAUCUAAAUAUGCUAAUAUAGGAAAUUAUUAAAAUAAGUACAGGUCCAUUCAGAUGAUGAAAUACUAUACAGCCAUGCAAUUUUUUGCA